UACGUAGGGGGCGAGCGUUGUCCGGAAUGACUGGGCGUAAAGGGCGCGUAGACGGUUGUCUAAGUCUGGAGUGAAAGUCCUGCUUUCAAGGUGGGAAUUGCUUUGGAGACUGAAUGACUUGAGUGCGGAAGAGGUAAGUGGAAUUCCCAGUGUAGCGGUGAAAUGCGUAGAGAUUGGGAGGAACACCAGUGGCGAAGGCGACUUACUGGGCCGUAACUGACGUUGAUGCGCGAAAGCGUGGGGAGCGAACAGGAUUAGAUACCCUGGUAGUCCACGCGGUAAACGAUGAGUGCUAGGUGUAGCGGGUAUCGACCCCUGCUGUGCCGGAGUUAACACAAUAAGCACUCCGCCUGGGGAGUACGGCCGCAAGGUUGAA
Molecule: ribosomal RNA, 376 nt
Filed under: uncultured bacterium
Lineage: Bacteria
Description: bacterial SSU rRNA
Rfam family: Bacterial small subunit ribosomal RNA
Source: RNAcentral